CGGGGGGGCUGGAGUCAGCUAAAGCCAAAGUUGCAGUUCAAGUGCAGUCAGUCGAAGAAUCACAAAACAUGUCUGCGACCAAUUCAAAAGACUCUGACCCUUGCUGACAAUUUCCAUGCUUCGGAGAAGGGAAAUGGUGAUCUUUGUGAAUGAGAGUACUGCACAGUUCCUGCCCUGUGACUUUCUGCCAGUGUAAGAGGUAAAACAAGAUAAGAUGGAAAGGAGGAAGUGGAAAACAGCUACAAACAAGAAAAAGAAGCAAAAACAGAAGAAGGUCUUGACCGUAGUUAAGAGGACGAAAGUAACUGGAGAAUCAUCAGACAACCAGCAGAACUACUGAAACAUGUUGGGAGCCAGAUCAGAAGCGAGGCAGAGGAUUUCCAGCUACAAGCGACGAACAAAGAACAGGAGCAAAGUGGUAAGGAAGACGAUGGCGUCCAGAGGAGGUUGAGGAUGCAGAAGUGGAGCAUGGAGGGGCAGAAGGAGCUGAUCAAGAGGAGUCAGGAGUCAGGGUUCAUCAUUUGAUGGAGCAGAUGAGAGGGAUCUUGAGUUGCCUUCAGUUUCCACCAGAAUGUAUCCUUUUCGACAAAGAAAUCCACCCAAAACACAAUACAAUAGAUUAGGUCAAUUGUCAUUUAAGAUAAAAAGGGCCAUGUUUUGGGAGGGAGACACAUGUUCAUAAUUACUUAAAGGUCUUACUGUUACGGUAAGUUAGAUGGGCGUGGGCCCAAGCGCAGCACACAGGAGUCACAGGGAGGUUCUUCCGACUUGAAAAAUAAGAUAUUUAUUUAAACAUAUAAAAAGGGCGCACGAGGACAGGUUGACUCCGCAGGGAAGAAUGGCCUCGGAGGACCCGCUAGCCGGCAGGUAGGAAUCCUCGAGCACACUCUGACGGCAGAACUAUCUGGCGCUGAAUGGCAGGAAGACCCGGGUUCAUAUGGGAGUCCCUUGAUGGCUGAUUGUCGUCAGCUGUUGCAGGCCACACCCUUCGGGGAUGCCCAGGCGGAGACCACACCUCCUUUCAGACACGGGAAAACACAGGCAAAGGAAACAGAGGGAGCUGCUGGGCUGACAGCAUGACACUUACUGAGACAUAUGUUACGGAUAUAUAUAUAUAUAUAUAUAUAUAUAUAUAUAUACACAAAUACAAUAUAUGUGUGUGUGUAAUCGGCUAUCUUUUUGCCUUCUUGGUUUCUGUGUUAACAUCUAGCUUUGAUCAAUGGGUCCUGAAAUGCGCCGAAUGUGUUAGAUUUAGCAAAAUUUGGUUAUGACAUUUUGGUAACUCUUUUAAUCUUUGUUUGAGUUGUGUCUGGAGCAAGUUCAAACAGCUUAGUAUGCAUUCUAGGCAAGGCUCUAAUGUUUCUCCUGGUGUACCAUUAUAUUAGUUUUUUUGCGGAAUGCCUUUUUUUCGACAGUAUGGGGGACGCUCGGGUACAAAAGACAGUUGAUUGAAUAAAAAAUCUUUUAAUCUAAAGAAUCACUUCACACAACGCACCCCUGCCACCAUGGGUCUGCGAUAUCAGCGACUAUCGCACUACCACCAAUGAAACAUCCAGCACACGUUUAAACAUGAACAUAUAGAAAAAAGAAGUGAAAAAACUAGUUAAAUUGAGUAAACCUGCAGCCUUGAUACCUCAAUGUAAGAUCCUUUAAAAUGUUUUUUUCUCUCAAAAAAAUAAAUGAUUCCCUUUUAGAUUUAACGGAGUGUUUAAUAACCUCCUGACCAAUGCUGAAUGCAGUCCCAAUCACUUUGUCAAGAUUUGGCACUUACUAGAUCAACCCCACGUCAAGAAAUAAGUCUCCGUAGAUUGUGGUUCCUUCUGGACCCUGGUCCUGACACCUGCCGUGGCCAUGCUGACGCCUGCUGCUGCCAUCAUCAUUAUUUUAGAUAUUAAUCAUAUUACUGUACUCAUAAACCGACAUUACCCUCUCCUAAAAUCUCUGUGCUCUCCCUCCCCACAGGCUUCUGUGGAUGGUGGUUCUAUCUGAUGGUGGUUGCCCCUGCAGUGGUCCUGCUGUGCGCCUGGCUUACUACUCACAAUUACUUGAAUCAUUUCUGUCAUAGGAAUUGCAUGUAUUAUACAUUGUUCAUUCUGUACACAUGGCAUCCAUUGUAGUCUGUCCAUCCCGGGAGUGGGAUCCCUCCUCUGACGUUCUCCCUAAGGUUUCUUCCCUUUUUUCCCUCUUGUAAGGGUUUUUUCAUUUUUUGGGGAGUUUUUCCUGUGCCGAUGGAGGGUUUCGGGGCAGAGGAUGUUGUAUGUGUACAGACUGUAAAGCCCUCUGAGGCAAAUUUGUAAUUUGCGAUUAUGGGCUAUACAAAAUAAAAUGACUUGACUUGA
Molecule: long non-coding RNA, 2339 nt
Organism: Gasterosteus aculeatus aculeatus (three-spined stickleback)
Lineage: Eukaryota; Metazoa; Chordata; Actinopteri; Perciformes; Gasterosteidae
Source: Ensembl